AUACGUAGGGUGCGAGCGUUAAUCGGAAUUACUGGGCGUAAAGCGUGCGCAGGCGGUUUUGUAAGACAGUGGUGAAAUCCCCGGGCUCAAACUGGGAACUGCCAUUGUGACUGCAAGGCUGGAGUGCGGCAGAGGGGGAUGGAAUUCCGCGUGUAGCAGGGAAAUGCGUAGAUAUGCGGAGGAACACCGAUGGCGAAGGCAAUCCCCUGGGCCUGCACUGACGCUCAUGCACGAAAGCGUGGGGAGCAAACAGGAUUAGAUACCCUGGUAGUCCACGCCCUAAACGAUGUCAACUGGUUGUUGGGAAUUUAUUUUCUCAGUAACGAAGCUAACGCGUGAAGUUGACCGCCUGGGGAGUACGGCCGCAAGGUUAAAACUCAAAUGAAUCGGCGGGG
This 395-nucleotide ribosomal RNA is filed under the name uncultured bacterium. Its description in RNAcentral is "partial 16S ribosomal RNA". It matches the Rfam family "Bacterial small subunit ribosomal RNA", at positions 523 to 918 of the family's 1533-position model. The record is from RNAcentral.